UUCGAGCGUCAUUUCAACCCAUCAAGCUUCGGCUUGGUCUUGGGGCCUGCGAUCCCGCAGCCUCUAAACCCAGUGGCGGUGCCCUCGAGCUCUGAGCGUAGUAAUUCUCCUCGCUAUAGGGUCUCGGUGGUGUCUUGCCAGUAACCCCCAAUUUUAUCAAGGUUGACCUCGGAUCAGGUAGGGAUACCCGCUGAACUUAA
RNAcentral lists this unclassified non-coding RNA (200 nucleotides) under soil metagenome. RNAcentral's name for it is "partial contains internal transcribed spacer 2 and large subunit ribosomal RNA". The record is from RNAcentral.